GAUGAACGCUAGCGACAGGCUUAACACAUGCAAGUCGAGGGGCAGCGGGGGUGAUGGCUUGCCAUCACCUGCCGGCGACCGGCGCACGGGUGAGUAACACGUAUGCAACCUGCCCGCCACAGGGGGAUAAGCGGAAGAAAUUCCGUCUAAUACCGCGUGACGCGGCGUCGGGGCAUCCCGGUGCCGCCAAAGGGAUUACCGGUGGCGGAUGGGCAUGCGGCGCAUUAGCUAGUCGGCGGGGUAACGGCCCACCGAGGCGACGAUGCGUAGGGGUUCUGAGAGGAAGGUCCCCCACACUGGUACUGAGACACGGACCAGACUCCUACGGGAGGCAGCAGUGAGGAAUAUUGGUCAAUGGGCGCGAGCCUGAACCAGCCAAGUCGCGUGAGGGAUGACGGUCCUACGGAUUGUAAACCUCUUUUGCCGGGGAGCAAGCGUGCGUUCGUGAACGCGCGUCGAGAGUACCCGGAGAAAAAGCAUCGGCUAACUCCGUGCCAGCAGCCGCGGUAAUACGGAGGAUGCGAGCGUUAUCCGGAUUUAUUGGGUUUAAAGGGUGCGUAGGCGGGAUGCCAAGUCAGCGGUAAAAAUGCGGUGCUCAACGCCGUCGAGCCGUUGAAACUGGCGUUCUUGAGUGGGCGAGAAGUAUGCGGAAUGCGUGGUGUAGCGGUGAAAUGCAUAGAUAUCACGCAGAACUCCGAUUGCGAAGGCAGCAUACCGGCGCCCUACUGACGCUGAGGCACGAAAGCGUGGGUAUCGAACAGGAUUAGAUACCCUGGUAGUCCACGCAGUAAACGAUGAAUGCUAACUGUCCGGCGCGAAUGAGCGCUGGGCGGUACAGCGAAAGCGUUAAGCAUUCCACCUGGGGAGUACGCCGGCAACGGUGAAACUCAAAGGAAUUGACGGGGGCCCGCACAAGCGGAGGAACAUGUGGUUUAAUUCGAUGAUACGCGAGGAACCUUACCCGGGCUCAAACGCAGGAUGACGGGUCCCGAAAGGGGCCUUUCUUCGGACAUUCUGCGAGGUGCUGCAUGGUUGUCGUCAGCUCGUGCCGUGAGGUGUCGGCUUAAGUGCCAUAACGAGCGCAACCCCUGUUCACAGUUGCCAGCAGGUAAAGCUGGGGACUCUGUGGAGACUGCCGGCGCAAGCUGCGAGGAAGGCGGGGAUGACGUCAAAUCAGCACGGCCCUUACGUCCGGGGCGACACACGUGUUACAAUGGCAGGUACAGCGGGAUGCCACGGGGCGACCCGGCGCUGAACCCGAAAACCUGUCUCAGUUCGGAUUGGAGUCUGCAACCCGACUCCAUGAAGCUGGAUUCGCUAGUAAUCGCGCAUCAGCCACGGCGCGGUGAAUACGUUCCCGGGCCUUGUACACACCGCCCGUCAAGCCAUGGAAGCCGGGGGUACCUGAAGUGCGUGACCGCGAGGAGCGCCCUAGGGUAAAACCGGUGACUGGGGCU
Molecule: ribosomal RNA, 1457 nt
Filed under: uncultured bacterium
Lineage: Bacteria
Description: partial 16S ribosomal RNA
Rfam family: Bacterial small subunit ribosomal RNA
Source: RNAcentral